UACCAGCUCUCCGAGUUGUAGGGAUGAUUAUUGGGCUUAAAGCGUCCGUAGCUGGCUUAGCAAGUCUCCUGUUAAAUUCAGCGACCUAAUCGUUGAGCCGCGGGAGAUACUACUAGGCUAGGAGGCGGGAGAGGUCGACGGUACUUUCGGGGUAGGUGUGAAAUCCUAUAAUCCCGGGAGGACCACCAGUGGCGAAGGCUGUCGACUAGAACGCGCUCGACGGUGAGGGACGAAAGCUGGGGGAGCGAACCGGAUUAGAUACCCGGGUAGUCCCAGCUGUAAACUAUGCGGGCUAGGUGUUGGGGUGGCUACGGGCCACUUCAGUGCCGCAGGAAAGCCAUUAAGCCCGCCGCCUGGGGAGUACGGCCGCAAGGCUGAAACUUAAGGAAUUGGCGGGGGAGCACCACAAGGCGUGAAGCUUGCGGUUC
Molecule: ribosomal RNA, 428 nt
Filed under: uncultured archaeon
Lineage: Archaea
Description: bacterial SSU rRNA
Rfam family: Archaeal small subunit ribosomal RNA
Source: RNAcentral